This 157-nucleotide small nuclear RNA is filed under the name Trichobilharzia regenti. Its description in RNAcentral is "U1 spliceosomal RNA". It matches the Rfam family "U1 spliceosomal RNA". Rfam says of the family: U1 is a small nuclear RNA (snRNA) component of the spliceosome (involved in pre-mRNA splicing). Its 5' end forms complementary base pairs with the 5' splice junction, thus defining the 5' donor site of an intron. There are significant differences in sequence and secondary structure between metazoan and yeast U1 snRNAs, the latter being much longer (568 nucleotides as compared to 164 nucleotides in human). Lineage: Eukaryota; Metazoa; Platyhelminthes; Trematoda; Strigeidida; Schistosomatidae. The record is from Rfam by way of RNAcentral.
UUACAAAUGGUGCCGGAACCAAGGUGACGACGAAUGCCCUCGCUCCAGGUGGAGGCUCGCUUUUGCACUUCGGCGUGUUGAAACCUGCGACGCUCCCUAAUCGGGCUCGCUCGGACACGUAGUUUAUGCUAGUUGGGAGGUCUUCGGAUCAUCCCUU